UAAACGACUCUCGGCAACGGAUAUCUCGGCUCUCGCAUCGAUGAAGAACGCAGCGAAAUGCGAUACUUGGUGUGAAUUGCAGGAUCCCGCGAACCAUCGAGUCUUUGAACGCAAGUUGCGCCCGAAGCCUUUCGGCCGAGGGCACGUCUGCCUGGGUGUCACCC
Molecule: ribosomal RNA, 164 nt
Filed under: Euphorbia platyclada
Lineage: Eukaryota; Viridiplantae; Streptophyta; Magnoliopsida; Malpighiales; Euphorbiaceae
Description: 5.8S ribosomal RNA
Rfam family: 5.8S ribosomal RNA
About the family: 5.8S ribosomal RNA (5.8S rRNA) is a component of the large subunit of the eukaryotic ribosome. It is transcribed by RNA polymerase I as part of the 45S precursor that also contains 18S and 28S rRNA.
Source: RNAcentral